CAAAUCCAACGUCUCACCCGAGACACCGUUGAAAUACUUUGCUGCUGGUGUGGUGUAGCGUGGCAAUAUGGGGAAGGGAAGGGAAAGGAGAUAGAUUACUACUACUACUACUACUACUUUUCUUCUGUGUUGCCCGCUCGCUCGCUUGCGCUAACUCACUAGACAUCGUUGAUCAUUUGUAUGCUUCUUUAACGAGAAA
RNAcentral lists this unclassified non-coding RNA (199 nucleotides) under uncultured fungus. RNAcentral's name for it is "sequence contains ITS1, 5.8S rRNA gene". Lineage: Eukaryota; Fungi. The record is from RNAcentral.